CUACGGAGGGUGCAAGCGUUAAUCGGAUUUACUGGGCGUAAAGCGCGCGUAGGCGGCUAAUUAAGUCAAAUGUGAAAUCCCCGAGCUUAACUUGGGAAUUGCAUUCGAUACUGGUUAGCUAGAGUGUGGGAGAGGAUGGUAGAAUUCCAGGUGUAGCGGUGAAAUGCGUAGAGAUCUGGAGGAAUACCGAUGGCGAAGGCAGCCAUCUGGCCUAACACUGACGCUGAGGUGCGAAAGCAUGGGGAGCAAACAGGAUUAGAAACCCGAGUAGUCC
Molecule: ribosomal RNA, 274 nt
Filed under: uncultured bacterium
Lineage: Bacteria
Description: partial 16S ribosomal RNA
Rfam family: Bacterial small subunit ribosomal RNA
Source: RNAcentral